GGCAACUUUAAAGUCUCAGUUAAACUCACAAUCUGUGGAGAUCACCAAACUACAGACAGAAAAGCAGGAACUGUUACAGAAAACAGAAGCGUUUGCAAAAUCAGUUGAGGUACAAGGAGAGACCGAGACUAUAAUAGCCACCAAAACUACUGAUGUAGAAGGAAGACUGUCAGCAUUAUUACAAGAGACCAAAGAGUUAAAGAAUGAAAUUAAAGCUCUGUCUGAGGAAAGAACUGCCAUUAAAGAGCAGCUGGAUUCAUCUAAUAGUACCAUUGCCAUUUUACAAACUGAGAAAGACAAACUAGAGUUGGAAAUUACAGAUUCUAAAAAAGAACAAGAUGAUCUCUUGGUCUAAACAUCUAAAACAAAUUUCAAGUUAACAGUUCAUACAACUCAGAUUUAGUAGUAUUGUUUAUCAUAAAACAUAUUAUGUUCCUAGUUUUAAAAAGACCCAAAGUAUGAUUAAUAUAAUUUAUUGGCAUUUUUGCUGAAUAGGUUUAAGUCAGAUAAUAGAUUUUAAAAAAGCAAAUGAGGCAAUGUGUCAAAAUUUAAUGUUUCAUAAUAAAAAUAGAUACGUUGACUU
RNAcentral lists this long non-coding RNA (583 nucleotides) under Homo sapiens (human). Its description in RNAcentral is "HSALNT0073867". The record is from RNAcentral. Lineage: Eukaryota; Metazoa; Chordata; Mammalia; Primates; Hominidae.